This 232-nucleotide unclassified non-coding RNA is filed under the name Glomeraceae sp. RNAcentral describes it as "partial contains 5.8S ribosomal RNA and internal transcribed spacer 2". The stretch from base 1 to 71 matches the Rfam family "5.8S ribosomal RNA", at positions 84 to 154 of the family's 154-position model. Lineage: Eukaryota; Fungi; Glomeromycota; Glomeromycetes; Glomerales; Glomeraceae. The record is from RNAcentral.
GUGAAUCAUCAAAUUUUUGAACGCAAAUUGCACUCUCUGGUAUUCCGAAGAGUAUGCCUUUCUGAGGGUCAUUUUAAAUAAAAAUCUGUGUGGUUUCUGCCUUUCUUUGUUACUCACCGGAUUUGGGUCGUCUUGCCUUCGGUUAAUUGACCUAAACUUUUUCAUGAUUUUUUUCGAACGUAUUUAAAUUAUUUUACGUACGUUUGCGAUCUCGAAUACUUGGUGUGGUCUU